UACGAAGGGGGCUAGCGUUGCUCGGAAUUACUGGGCGUAAGGGCGCGUAGGCGGCACUGUUAGUCAGGCGUGAAAUUCCUGGGCUCAACCUGGGGACUGCGCUUGAUACGGCAGAGCUUGAGGAUGGAAGAGGGUCGCGGAAUUCCCAGUGUAGAGGUGAAAUUCGUAGAUAUUGGGAAGAACACCGGUGGCGAAGGCGGCGACCUGGUCCAUUACUGACGCUGAGGCGCGACAGCGUGGGGAGCAAACAGG
RNAcentral lists this ribosomal RNA (252 nucleotides) under uncultured bacterium. RNAcentral describes it as "partial 16S ribosomal RNA". It matches the Rfam family "Bacterial small subunit ribosomal RNA", at positions 524 to 776 of the family's 1533-position model. The record is from RNAcentral.